Clupea harengus (Atlantic herring) is the source of this 393-nucleotide long non-coding RNA. The record is from Ensembl. Lineage: Eukaryota; Metazoa; Chordata; Actinopteri; Clupeiformes; Clupeidae.
AGAGAGAGAGAGAGAAAGGAGUAGAGAGAGGGAGAAAGAAAGGAGUAGAGAGAGAAAUGAGUAGAGAGAGAAAGGAGUAGAGAGAGAGAGAGAGAGAGAGAGAGAACGGAAGAUGAGUGUUGUUGAGGACUCUGAGGGAAGUCAGUGAUCCAUAUGAGCAGGUAGUGCUAUUUUACUGGGGGAGUCUCCUUAUGAGCAGGUAGUGCUGUUCCACUAAGGGAGUCUCCACAGUAUCUCUGCAGGCAGUAGCUCAGCUCCAUGUGAUCCUGUUGAGACUAUGCACCUCCCCAGUGGUGACAACAGCAAUCUCAGCUGCUAUUUUUGGACAAGAGCAACACCGAAACUCAGCCGCUUGUGUGUGUUUGAGAGUCUGUGUGUGUGUGUGUGUGUGUG